This 579-nucleotide long non-coding RNA is filed under the name Homo sapiens (human). Its description in RNAcentral is "HSALNT0220466". Lineage: Eukaryota; Metazoa; Chordata; Mammalia; Primates; Hominidae. The record is from RNAcentral.
UCCAGUAUGGCUCUACCCAGCGCUGCAUUCAGUCUCCAGUUUGCAACCUCUGAUCUGGAACAUACAGGAGCCACUCUACUGUCACAAUGAACCAGCUUUGCAUUGGAUCAAUUCAAGGCACAAUCAGGAUAUGGCCUAAAAUAAAAUAGUUGGAUUCUUGUAAGGGUCCGGGACCUGCGGAAGAUCAGAAAUUUUUGCAAUGCAGCAUCCAGAGGAGAAAAUGGGCUUUGGAGCCAGACAUACCUGGGUCUGAAUCCUUGAUGAAGGACCUUGGAUAAGUCAAUUAAUCUCUUCCUUAGUUUUCUUAUCUAUAAAAUUGGACUACCUUACAGGCUUUUUGUAGAGACCAAAGUUGAUGAUACAUUACGUUAUCUCUUAUUCUUUCUUUGGAACAGACACUUGGUAUAUGGCAGUUAUUAUUAUUAUGCAGCAUAUUCAUUGCAAACCAUCCCCUGCCAACAUUUAAAAAAAUACAUGGUUAUAUUUAAAUAACUUAAAUAUGUCAUUUAUUUAUGCUAUUAAUUUGCUUAGUUCAUCUUUUCUUUUUUUUUCCUUUUAUUAUUAUACUUUAAGUUUUAG